This 610-nucleotide ribosomal RNA is filed under the name Hydraena armipes. Its description in RNAcentral is "partial 16S ribosomal RNA". It matches the Rfam family "Bacterial large subunit ribosomal RNA", at positions 1819 to 2725 of the family's 2925-position model. Lineage: Eukaryota; Metazoa; Arthropoda; Insecta; Coleoptera; Hydraenidae. The record is from RNAcentral. RNAcentral also lists the same sequence under 1 other name.
GUCCUUUUGAUAAUAAUAUAAGGUCUAACCUGCCCACUGAAAUUUUAAAGGGCCGCAGUAUUUUAACUGUGCAAAGGUAGCAUAAUAAUUAGUUUCUUAAUUAGAAGCUGGUAUGAAUGGUUGAACGAGAAAUUUACUGUCUCAAUUUAUAUAUUAAAAUUUUAUUUUUAAGUUAAAAAGCUUAAAUUUAUUUAAAAGACGAGAAGACCCUAUAGAGUUUUAUAAAUUUAAGUAUAUUUUAUUAUAGAAUUUUUUUUUAUUUAAAUUUAUUUUGUUGGGGUGAUAUAUAAAUUUAAUAAACUUUAUAUUUUUAAUAACAUAAAUUAAUGUUAAAUUGAUCCAUAAAAAUGAUUAAAAGAAAAAAUUACCUUAGGGAUAACAGCGUAAUUUUUUUUUAGAGUUCAAAUCGAAAAAAAAGAUUGCGACCUCGAUGUUGGAUUAAAAUUAAUUUUUGGUGUAGAAGCUAAAAUAUUAGGUCUGUUCGACCUUUAAAAUUUUACAUGAUCUGAGUUUAAACCGGCGUGAGCCAGGUUGGUUUCUAUCUUUAAAAAAAUUAAAUAUUUUAGUACGAAAGGACCAAAUAUUUUUAAAAUUUAAUAUUUUUUGAAUA